AUUGAACGCUGGCGGCAUGCCUUACACAUGCAAGUCGAACGGUAACGGGCCUUCGGGUGCCGACGAGUGGCAAACGGGCGAGUAAUACAUCGGAACGUGCCCGAUCGUGGGGGAUAACGAGGCGAAAGCUUUGCUAAUACCGCAUACGAUCUACGGAUGAAAGCCGGGGACCGCAAGGCCUUGCGCGGACGGAGCGGCCGAUGGCGGAGUAGGUAGUUGGUGGGAUAAAAGCUUACCAAGCCGACGAUCUGUAGCUGGUCUGAGAGGAUGAUCAGCCACACUGGGACUGAGACACGGCCCAGACUCCUACGGGAGGCAGCAGUGGGGAAUUUUGGACAAUGGGCGCAAGCCUGAUCCAGCCAUGCCGCGUGCAGGAUGAAGGCCUUCGGGUUGUAAACUGCUUUUGUACGGAACGAAAAGCCUUCUUUUAAUACAGGAGGGUCAUGACGGUACCGUAAGAAUAAGCACCGGCUAACUACGUG
This 482-nucleotide ribosomal RNA is filed under the name uncultured bacterium. RNAcentral describes it as "partial 16S ribosomal RNA". It matches the Rfam family "Bacterial small subunit ribosomal RNA", at positions 30 to 507 of the family's 1533-position model. The record is from RNAcentral.